UAUCUCUGUAGAGUCUGCAUAUCAAUAAGCGGAGGAAAAGAAACUAACAAGGAUUCCCUUAGUAACGGCGAGUGAAGCGGGAAGAGCUCAAAUUUGAAAUCUUCAAGGUUCUACCUUGACGAAUUGUAGUUUAUAGAAGUGUUUUCUGUUAGUAGGAGUGGCAAAAGUUCUUUGGAAUAGGACAUCAUAGAGGGUGAGAAUCCCGUAUUUGGUCAUUCCUCCUAGCUUUGUGAUACACUUUCAACGAGUCGGAUUGUUUGGGAAUGCAGUCCAAAAUGGGUGGUAAAUUUCAUCUAAAGCUAAAUAUUGGCGAGAGACCGAUAGCGAACAAGUACCGUGAGGGAAAGAUGAAAAGAACUUCGAAAAGAGAGUUAAACAGUACGUGAAAUUGUCAAAAGGGAAGCGUUUGACACCAGUGUUGUUUUUCCGAAAAUCAAUUACGAAUGUUUUAGUUUUUGAGGAAGUUAUGACUUCAUCGGCUUGCUUCCUUUCUUCAUGAAACUUUCUUAAUGCACUUUUCGGUUAACAAGUCAACAUCAAUUUCUUUUGUUGUAAAAGAGUCACUGAGGAAGGUGGCUUUCACUUUCGGAUGAAAGUGUUUAUAGCCUUGUGCCUCUGCAAUCGGAGAGAUUGAGGUCUGCAGCGUAGAUCCUUCGGGGUUAGAUACAUUUGUGCUAAGUUAUAGCUUUUUCAUAGACAACAUUGUUGACUAUGAUUAAUCAUUGUAGCUUACUCGCUUACUGCUAUUUUACCUACGCUUAGGAUGUUGAUGUGAUACUGCGAGCA
This 786-nucleotide ribosomal RNA is filed under the name uncultured Neocallimastigales. RNAcentral describes it as "partial large subunit ribosomal RNA". It matches the Rfam family "Eukaryotic large subunit ribosomal RNA", at positions 24 to 646 of the family's 3401-position model. The record is from RNAcentral. Lineage: Eukaryota; Fungi; Neocallimastigomycota; Neocallimastigomycetes; Neocallimastigales.